Molecule: ribosomal RNA, 530 nt
Filed under: uncultured bacterium
Lineage: Bacteria
Description: bacterial SSU rRNA
Rfam family: Bacterial small subunit ribosomal RNA
Source: RNAcentral
UGGGGAAUCUUGGACAAUGGGGGCAACCCUGAUCCAGCCAUGUCGCGUGAGUGAUGAAGGCCUUAGGGUCGUAAAGCUCUUUCGCCUGUGAAGAUAAUGACGGUAGCAGGUAAAGAAACCCCGGCUAACUCCGUGCCAGCAGCCGCGGUAAUACGGAGGGGGUUAGCGUUGUUCGGAAUUACUGGGCGUAAAGCGCACGUAGGCGGACCAGAAAGUUGGGGGUGAAAUCCCGGGGGCUCAACCCCGGAACUGCCUCCAAAACUAUUGGUCUAGAGUUCGAGAGAGGUGAGUGGAAUUCCAAGUGUAGAGGUGAAAUUCGUAGAUAUUUGGAGGAACACCAGUGGCGAAGGCGGCUCACUGGCUCGAUACUGACGCUGAGGUGCGAAAGUGUGGGGAGCAAAACAGGAUUAGAUACCCUGGGUAGUCCACACCGUAAAACGAUGAAUGCCCAGUCGUCGGGUAGCAUGCUAUUCGGGUGACACACCUAACGGAUUAAAGCAUUCCGGCCUGGGGAGUACGGUCGCAAGAUU